This is a long non-coding RNA of Dermacentor albipictus, 668 nucleotides long. RefSeq lists it as uncharacterized. The record is from RefSeq and is a predicted model, not a curated record. Lineage: Eukaryota; Metazoa; Arthropoda; Arachnida; Ixodida; Ixodidae.
UGGGUAGCACACUGCCGGCUUCUGCGUGUGCAAAUCGGCAAUCCCCUUUUCAAUUUUGGCGUCCGGCCAACUGUUGCCGUUUCGUGCGCACUUCGCUACGUACGCACGACCUCGCGCACUGCGUACGUGGAUGGUUGAGGGCGCCGAACUAAAACUGUCUAGUUUCAUUGGUUCUGUGUAUGCAUCCUGAGUGAAGAUGAAAACGAUCAGCAACAUGGUGUCCGUGGAUGGCAGAGACGACGACCACGUUAUCGGCCAAGCGCAACUUGCCUAGCAUCGCUGCCGUUUGUUGCAGUGGAGUUCCCUCCUGGCUGGAACGAAAUCACAAAGUGCGUGCUCUCAGCGACUAUCUACUACACAAGGAAAGCGGCUCACGAAUGGAGUCAUGCCGGAACUUGGACCGCCAUAGAUAUCGCCGAUGGACAACGACUACGGCCUGAUUGCAUCAAGUCUUCCCAGUCAUCACCAUCGUCUACAGACCGUUCCCCAGGUUAUGCGACGACGCUUCUGCCUCGCCGCGGCGUGCUCAAUUACAGCGUUCCCGAGGUCGUCUGCUAAUUUGGAAUCCGGCACAUGCUGCUCACUAUCAUCAUCGUCACCAUCACCACCAUCAUCACGGUACUCGUAAGCAUUCAACAUUUUUUCAUUGCCUGCUGGAGGCAAACAAU